GCCAGGUGGGUUGGGACAUGCUUGUAAUCCCAGUGACUUGGGAGGCUGAGACAGGAGGAUUGCAAGUUGGAGGGCAGCCUGAGCAACUUAACAAGACCCUGUCUCAA
This 107-nucleotide small RNA is filed under the name Marmota monax (woodchuck). The record is from RNAcentral. Lineage: Eukaryota; Metazoa; Chordata; Mammalia; Rodentia; Sciuridae.